Molecule: non-coding RNA, 609 nt
Organism: Cucurbita pepo subsp. pepo (vegetable marrow)
Lineage: Eukaryota; Viridiplantae; Streptophyta; Magnoliopsida; Cucurbitales; Cucurbitaceae
Source: RefSeq, a predicted model, not a curated record
GUUUAACUCACUUCAAUAGCCCAUUUUGGUCAAUGCCACGAGUUUCAUGCAUGCAGGUAAUCUAUUUCGAUUUAUCAUUGUUGAUGGUGGGUUGACCAUUGUGGACGGGAGGAUUCAGAGGGUAGAUUUACAUUACGCUGGCAAGGUCAAUCGAGCUCGAGGAUAGUUACUCCAAGGUUGUGUUUCAAUACGCGGCUCGUUGCUCACUUUUAAGAAUAGAUUAUCCAUUAUCACCCAUCAAUCAUCGAAUGAUUGGAGAAGAUAAUGUUACUGAAAUUGUUGGAUAGUGGUCGAUAGCCCUAGGGGCGGAGCUAGACAUUUUCCUGCAUGAAACUCAGGCAGCUUUCUGUUGAAUCAAGUUGAGAAAUACUUGCUCUAUGCUUGAAACCGAAAAGGUUCAAGUUGAAAAGUUGGUGAAUCCUUCGCUGCAAACUACCGAGUCCUUUCAGAGGUGCUGCUGACCUUUCAUCAAGGAUUCUGGAGUUGGUUUUCAAUUUACGGUAUGUAUUCAGCUUAGCGACGUCGACAACUUAAAGGCUGGCUGGCUUAAGCACAACAAAUUGUUUCUGCAACAAUCAAUGAAAGGAACGACAAUCAGUUCUGGAGGUU